CGAGGCGUAGCGCAGUUGGUAGCGCGCAGCGUUCGGGACGCUGAGGUCGUGGGUUCGAGCCCCGUCGCCUCGACCA
This 76-nucleotide transfer RNA is filed under the name Bacillota bacterium. RNAcentral's name for it is "tRNA-Pro". It matches the Rfam family "tRNA". Rfam says of the family: Transfer RNA (tRNA) molecules are approximately 80 nucleotides in length. Their secondary structure includes four short double-helical elements and three loops (D, anti-codon, and T loops). Further hydrogen bonds mediate the characteristic L-shaped molecular structure. tRNAs have two regions of fundamental functional importance: the anti-codon, which is responsible for specific mRNA codon recognition, and the 3' end, to which the tRNAs corresponding amino acid is attached (by aminoacyl-tRNA synthetases). tRNAs cope with the degeneracy of the genetic code in two manners: having more than one tRNA (with a specific anti-codon) for a particular amino acid; and 'wobble' base-pairing, i.e. permitting non-standard base-pairing at the 3rd anti-codon position. The record is from RNAcentral. Lineage: Bacteria; Bacillati; Bacillota. RNAcentral also lists the same sequence under 3 other names.